UGGACCAUUCCCCCGGAGUACCUGCCAUUGCGCGUUCAUUGUAAUCACAAGUAACUGCAUUUUGCUUUGGCGUUAUGAGCAGGAACGCUGUGGGCGCUUCACGUGGCUCCUAUUGCUGUAUUGUGGGCUGCUCGAACCGAGGAAGAAAUCCAACGCUGAAGUUCUACCGCUUCCCGUCUCGGCCCUACGAGCGCGAUCGGAGGCAGCGUUGGAUACAAGCCGUUCGACGAUAGAAUGAGGAUGGCAGCCCAUGGGAGCCGAACAAAGGCUCAAGAGUUUGCAGCGUGCAUUUUGUCGGCGGGGUCAAGAGCGAUAUUGAGCGCCACCCGGCUUACGUCCCGUCAAUCUUUCCUUCUGUCUAUGCAGUUAAAAGUACAGCGGACCUAGAUCUCGCACGAUACGAAAGGUCCAAGAAGCGGGGCCAGCAAAGAAAGCAAACGCACUGCAUCCAACUGGAAGACAUGAGCGCCACGGAUGUUGACGUCCUGCCAUCUGAAGAAACAAUCUCAGGCGUAGCUGCAGAUCAAGAGGCCUUCUCAGCCACACAUGCCACAGUGUUGCUUCAUAACCAGGCAACCCAGACUGAUGAGCAAAGUAUAGACAGCCAAGCAACGUUCUCAGUUUUCAUCUCAGCGGUUUCCACUGAUGGUGCGUCAACGCAAGUGACACAUCAUCACAGCUGCUGCAAGUGUUCUUGCUGCACCCACAACGAAGUCAACAGCAACCGCUAAUGCUGAGAGGUUGUCGCUUUUCCAGGGUAUUGAGAGUUUGAAGGACUCUCCGCAGGCUUUGCAGGACUUGUGUGGUAUUAGUAUGAAUGUGUUUGCUUUGC
Molecule: long non-coding RNA, 832 nt
Organism: Ornithodoros turicata
Lineage: Eukaryota; Metazoa; Arthropoda; Arachnida; Ixodida; Argasidae
Exons: 4
Source: RefSeq, a predicted model, not a curated record